Molecule: ribosomal RNA, 2424 nt
Filed under: Triticum aestivum (bread wheat)
Lineage: Eukaryota; Viridiplantae; Streptophyta; Magnoliopsida; Poales; Poaceae
Description: partial small subunit ribosomal RNA
Source: RNAcentral
AUGAACCCCCGGGUGGUGAAAACCGAGGCGGCCGACGAGCGCCUCACGCUGCCGGCGACUGGCGCCGGCGGCGGCGGACCGCGCGCCCCGGUUCAGUUCAUAGAGCUCAGCAGCAGCGACUCCGACUCUGACGGCGGCGUCAGCGGCAGCGCAAAGAGGUCCCACAGCGCGGCAGGGGACAGCGCCGCGGGGAAGCGGGCUAGGGUUUCCGCGGGGCCCGUGGUCGGCGUGGACGUGCCACCAGGCUUCCUCGAUCCGCUACCGGCGCCUCCACAGCCGUCGAGGGGCACGACGAAGCAGUUCUGGAAGGCCGGGGACUACGACGGGAAUCCGGCUGGGGGUGCGGAGCCGCCGCCAUCUGCAUCUGGAUUGGAACAUGUCCGCGUACAUCCUAAAUUUUUGCACUCAAAUGCAACAAGCCACAAGUGGGCUCUAGGGGCUUUGGCUGAGCUUCUGGACAACUCACUCGAUGAAGUUAGAAAUGGAGCUACGUUUGUGAACAUUGACAUGUUGGAGAAUAGUAAAGACAAAACAAGAAUGCUCCUUGUUGAAGAUAAUGGUGGUGGAAUGGACCCAGAUAAAAUGCGUCAGUGCAUGUCCUUGGGUUAUUCGGCCAAGAGCCAAGUUGCAAAUACCAUUGGACAAUAUGGAAAUGGUUUCAAGACAAGUACAAUGAGACUUGGUGCUGAUGUUCUGGUCUUUUCCCGUAGCCGUGGAAAAGAAGGCAAAAGGCCUACACAAAGCAUUGGCAUGCUAUCUUAUACCUUUUUGAGGAGCACUGGUAAAGAGGAUAUUGUUGUUCCAAUGAUUGAUUAUGAAAAAAAUGGACUGAAUUGGACAAGAAAGCUGCGGAGUACAUUUGCUGAUUGGAAUACAAGCCUACAGACUAUCAUUACAUGGUCGCCUUAUGGAACUGAAGCAGAACUACUUGAACAGUUUAGUUCUAUAAAGGAACAGGGGACUCGAGUUAUCAUUUACAAUCUUUGGGAAGAUGACCAAGGAGAUUUGGAACUCGACUUUGAUGCUGAUGUAAAUGAUAUUCAACUCAGAGGUGGUAACCGUGAUGAGAAAAAUAUCGAGAUGGCUAAGCGGUUUCCUAACUCCAAGCAUUUCCUUACAUAUAGGCAUUCAUUGAGGAGUUAUGCAUCUAUUUUGUAUCUCCGACUUUCGGAUGCUUUCCAAAUUUUUUUACGUGGAAAAGAGAUUGAGCACCAUAAUAUUGUGACUGACAUGAUGCUGAAGAAAGAGGUUACAUACAGGCCGGUUGCAACUAAUGGACUUCCAAAAGAUUCAAAUAUGGUAGCUGAUGUGACGAUUGGCUUUGUUAAGGAUGCAAAAUUCCAUAUUGACGUCCAAGGAUUUAAUGUAUAUCACAGGAACCGUCUGAUAAAGCCUUUCUGGAGAGUGUGGACUGCUGCGGGAAGUGGUGGGCGUGGUGUUAUAGGUGUACUUGAGGCUAACUUCAUAGAGCCAGCUCAUGAUAAGCAGGACUUUGAGCGCACAACUCUUCUAGCAAGACUUGAAGCACGAUUAAUUCAAAUGCAGAAGGAUUACUGGUCAGGAAAUGCUCAUCGGAUUGGUUAUGUUGGAGCUCGCUCUUUCAGAAGUCCUGAAACAGGAAGAGAAAACUCUCCUGAAGGUUCCCCAGGAGCACAACCAUCACCAGGUCAUUCUGGGAAAGAUUAUCCAAAACAGCGCAGCGCUGGUAAAUCAUAUUCUGCCUCCAGUAAAAAGAGCGGGAAAACAAGCACACCGUUUAGUUGUCAACAGGCUGAGAAGUCUGCCAGGACUAAGCGAUCUGCGGGAUCAAUACUGCAUGGAUUACCAGACACAAGUGAUGACAGUGAUUCUGAGUUUGUGAACACACCGUCAUUAAGUUCAAAAUCUCAUAUCCUGAAUGCACAUAGAAAAUAUUUCCAGAAUGAGAAUACUAGUUUGGCAACACCCGCGUCCAAUGGAACAACAGAAAAAGAAAGAAGCAUAACCAAAUCCCAGUUGGCGGAACCAAAUGCAAGAAGUAACGUUGAUGGACAUUCCAUUGAUGAUCAUGAACCUGUAAUCAAGCAAUUGAGGGAUGAAAAUGCAUCAUUAAAGGAAAGGUUAUUGAUUGUGGAAGAGGCAACGUCACAAGAGCUGGUUAUGGAGCGGGACAAGGUCAAGUCUUUGACAGAGAGGCUGGAGGAUCUGCAGAGACAACUUGAUACUGCAAACAAGGAACAAGAAGCACUGAUCGACAUCUUUUCAGAAGAAAGAAGUCGGCGAGACGAAGAAGAGGAAAAUCUAAGACAGAAGCUAAAGCAUGCUUGGUCUUUGAUUGGCAGGAAGCAUCGAACACCAUACAAGAGUUGCUGCUGGAGAAAUCAAACGCUGGCAGGAAAAGUCAAAAGGUGUGAGAAACUCACCAUGUUGCUACCGCCUCACUAA